GAUCGGGAAAACAAGAAUCAAUGCGAAUUCAUAAGGAAAAGAGCAGGAGAACAAAAACAACAAUUACACUGUAUUUUGUUUUUGUUUUCAGUGUAACAAUUGUCAAAAACAGGGAGAUUGGAAAAAUAUAUGUACAUACAAAACACAACGAUUUGCCUUCAAAAAGGUUUUCCAAACCCAUUUUUACAGACUUUGAGCCGUCUUGAAAAAGCGUUCCCUCAAUAAACAUAGACAGGUAAUUUCAUAGUCCACUGCAGCGUCUUCUAAGCAGAACUGUUUGCAAUCAUGGAAUCCGCCGAGUGACUCGAUAACAAAUAGCCAUCAGAUUUCUACAGGGUAACAGUACAACAUCAAAACGGGCUAUGAAAAGAAACAACCUGAACAAUUUUUCGGCUUAAUUGCAAUACUGCCAUGGUCUGGGUACCCAUACACAGAAGCAUCCCACGCUUUUUCACGGCAGACGAGCCAGCUAUGACCAAAAUUGGAAGCGAAAAAAAUCUGAACAUAUUUUCUUUCUAGACCAGUUAUCCACCCAACUACGGGUGUAAUAAGACAAGUAACUGUUCAAUGGGGCUUCACGGAAAAGCAGGCUACUAUUCCAAUCAUGGUGGCCGCAUAGAAAGAGUCUAUUGAACACUAAGACUUCUUUAAAUGACUCGCUAAGCAAGCUUCAACAAAAAUUGCUAAUCUUGCUGCUUUUAAUAAACACGCGAAAUGGCUCGAGAGAAGGACAAGAUAAGAACGUCUUGCGCAUAAACUUAAUUCAACAACGGUCUAUAUUUUUUAUUAAAAAAAAAAAAACAAAAAAUCUAAUUUGAAAAUUUUAAUUUUUUCAAUUGGAAAUUCAAAUUAAAUGUAAACAAAAGAAAAGCAAAAUAUAAAUAAAAAUGCAAUGUAUGAAAAGCAUUUUGACAGUCGUUGAAAAGUUGAAUUCGCAGCUCUUGAUAAAUUCUCUUUGACAAGAAUCUUUGAUAUAUAGAUUAUUUGAACGUGUGUGAGUGAGAAUCGUGAAUUAGGCUGUGCUAGAUCCUGGAAAACGAGCAACGAAAUAGUGGACACCAAAUUUGUAAGUUCCAGUUCAUCCUCUAAAGACACCUAAAACCAAAGUGAAUGUCAUGAGAAAAAUUACAACUUUGAAGGAUUUAGAUUAUGGAACCCAACCAAAGAAAAUUGAACGAAAUACGUACAGAAGGUUUUCGAAGACUGGUAAAACUUGCAGAACAAAGGGAUUUGAUUUGAAGUGUUGCACAUAAGAUUUGCAUUACUUUUUGUCCUUGAAGAGGAAAUUGAAAUUAAAGAGUCAAAGUUAGAAGCAAGAUUGGAUAGAAGAA
Long non-coding RNA from Ceratitis capitata (Mediterranean fruit fly), 1331 nucleotides. RefSeq lists it as uncharacterized. NCBI's taxonomy places the organism in Eukaryota, Metazoa, Arthropoda, Insecta, Diptera, Tephritidae. The record is from RefSeq and is a predicted model, not a curated record. The transcript has 2 exons.